RNAcentral lists this ribosomal RNA (442 nucleotides) under uncultured bacterium. Its description in RNAcentral is "partial 16S ribosomal RNA". It matches the Rfam family "Bacterial small subunit ribosomal RNA", at positions 338 to 795 of the family's 1533-position model. The record is from RNAcentral.
CCUACGGGCGACAGCAGUAGGGAAUCUUUCACAAUGGGCGAAAGCCUGAUGGAGCAACGCCGCGUGCAGGAUGAAGGCCUUCGGGUUGUAAACUGCUUUUAUAAGCGAGAAAUAUGAUGGUAACUUAUGAAUAAGGAUCGGCUAACUACGUGCCAGCAGCCGCGGUCAUACGUAGGAUCCGAGCAUUAUCCGGAGUGACUGGGUGUAAAGAGUUGCGUAGGUGGCAUAAUAAGUAGCUAGUGAAAUCUGGUGGCUCAACCAUUCAGACUAUUAGCUAAACUGUUAAGCUCGAGACCGUUAGGGGUAACUGGAAUUUCUAGUGUAGGAGUGAAAUGCGUAGAUAUUAGAAGGAACACCAAUAGCGUAGGCAGGUUACUGGGACGGUUCUGACACUAAGGCACGAAAGCGUAGGGAGCAAACGGGAUUAGAUACCCCUGUAGUC